UAAAGCUUCAGUUCUUUAGCCAACUGAGCAUAGCCCAAAACUAUAUUAAAUCAGCCCAAAAUAUAUUAGCCCAUUAGAAAUAUCUCUGAUUUGAAUUCCAAAAUCUCUUUAAUCAUAUUGAAAUAUUUGCUUCAAUUCCAACAGAAAAGCUGCCAUCUAUUCCUAUCCUACUUUAUUGACCAAAGCGUCUGAAAUUUUCAGACUUGCCUUCCUCUCUCAUGGCUUCCCCCACACCCUUUUUUCUUUUUUGCUUCAAAGCGUGGAUCAUCUUUCAAAAAAGCAACAUUGACUUCACCAUUUUAAGAAAAGAAAUCAAAACCAUCUCAGAGGACGAUUCUCUGUCUUGCCUCCAACGUUCGGAUUCAAGCGACCAUUUUUAUCAAGAUUCAAGUCCGAUUUUGAAUUCCCUCAAAAAAGACCCAAACCCUACUUCUUCACCUAUAAAUACUAGUAUUUGGAAUAUAUUGGGGCAGAGCUUUUGGAGCCGUUGCACCUCUUUUUAAACCCACAAGCUUCAGCCCCCUUCUUUAACCUUAAGCUCUUAGCUGCCCCUUUGACCCCAAAAUUUGAGGCUGGAGCCGCCCCAAAGCUCCGAUUUUUAGCCGCCAUUGCUAACUCCUACAAAUCUACUGGUGUUACUCGAUUUAUCCCUAAAAUAAACACUCUUAAAAGGCUCAGCUCUCUCUCUCUCUCUCUCUCUCUCUCUCUCUCUCUCUCUCUUUUAAUCUCUUUCUCUGUCGGCGUUUACCUAUAAUAGUGGCGUUUGUUUCUGUUCGUUCUGGUAUUUGACGACUACCCGUGUACAGCAAGUUCGAGGUUAGAAUCCGAUAGCGGCUUACCCUAGUUCACUGCCCGCAAAAAGGUCAGUAACGGUUAAGCUAUUCCUUUCUGUUUUUCUUUUCUGAUUAGAGGUAGACUUUAUUUCUAUCUGAAAUAGUGCUAUAGUUGGUUUGUGAUUAUGAUUCGAGAUUAAUCUUCACAUAAAGAGUCUGUUACGAGCUAUGUUGUAUAGAGUUAUGAGAUAGAGCUCGUAUGUUUGUAGAAGUUGUUAUUUUGGCUAAAUAGAAUAAAAUUUAAAAUGAAAUAAUACAUCAGUUGUUAUGUAUUCACAUGUACAGAUUUGAAUUUAGCUAUCUGCAUAUUUUGCCUGAAUGGUUCGGUCACUUAGCCUAGAUUUUUUAAAAAAGGAGUUAUUCUUCUAACAGAAUCAUGACUUGAGUCUCUUUUCUGUUAUAUAGCAUGCCUAUAUGAAUCACCAUCUUUAAGUAGAUAUUCAAAGGAAUCAAAUCUAUAUCAUGUUGAAUGUUUACUUGAAGUAUUGUAACAAAUAUAGAUAUUCUGUUGGAACUAACAUUGAUUUAGAGCUUACGGUUAUACAUUUAGUUGUCAUGUUACCUAUGUAGGUACUGUAUAAAAGAGUUGUAACCUUUAAGCUUUUCUUUAAGAAUCAUGUCUAUAUGAGUGAUAUAUGAGAUCUUUUAGUCAUUUAGAAAUCAUACUGUAAGACUAAAUUUUAUUUGAUGAGAAUUAAACCUGAACUUGAUGUGUUUUUCAACCUUCUUUAUUGAAUAUAGGUAUUUUUGUCAUGAUACUAAGACAAAUUUAGAUAACAAUUUAUUCUAUUGCUAAGCCUUUUUCCUUCGUACAUCAUGCUUCUAGGAUUUCAAUUAUUUUUGUUAAAAAUACAUGUCUUAUUUAAUAAUGAAAUACUAGUAUGCACCUAUAUUUUUGCUAUUAGGCGUUGGUAUCUUAUAUGUGCUAAUUUAAAAGCUUUUGUAGAAGUAAGAAACACCUCAUGUUUGUUGGAACAUUGCUCUUUAAAAAGAUUUGUUAAAAUAUUGCUCCAGUUUGAAAAAUGUUCGUAUAUGAUUUGCUAUUGUUCUUCGGUUUCUUGUCUAUUGCAGAGUGAAGAAAAUAGUUGUACUUUUGUCUUGCGUGCUUCAUUCUUGUAUUGAAUUUUCGCCUCUAAUUUUCUUCUUCUUUCCUUUUGCAUAUACACUUGGAGCAAAAAAUAGAGUCUCACUCGAGACUCAACACUACCCGAGCAUGGAGUCAUCACAUGGCAUCCCCUUAGAAUGUCCCGGAUAGCAAGAAAACAAGCGAAACGCUUGGGGACGCCUAUGGCGUCUUUCAUUUUUCUUUUCCUCUUAUCAUUUGUUUAAUUUUUUUAUGAUUGUAGAUUUAUUUGGGAAUGUUUUAUAUUAGAUUUGGUAGCUAAAUCUUAUUUUGAUUAGUGUCAUUUACUCUAGUUAAUAAUAAAUCGCCGAUUUUAUUUACAUGAGUCUUAAGGGCUUUUAAAAUCAACAAUUUGAGAUAAUGGCUUUAUUUAUUUAUUUAGUUCUAAAAUAUUUGCCCCCAUCAAUUUUGGAAAUACUUAGUGUUUUUUGUCAGCAUUUGUCCAUAAAAA
RNAcentral lists this long non-coding RNA (2407 nucleotides) under Nicotiana tabacum (common tobacco). RNAcentral describes it as "long non-coding RNA (NTAB_LNC015322)". The record is from RNAcentral. Lineage: Eukaryota; Viridiplantae; Streptophyta; Magnoliopsida; Solanales; Solanaceae.